GAGACCUCAAGUCAGGCGGGGCUACCCGCUGAAUU
RNAcentral lists this ribosomal RNA (35 nucleotides) under Lathyrus filiformis. Its description in RNAcentral is "partial 25S ribosomal RNA". Lineage: Eukaryota; Viridiplantae; Streptophyta; Magnoliopsida; Fabales; Fabaceae. The record is from RNAcentral.